Molecule: long non-coding RNA, 465 nt
Organism: Malurus melanocephalus (red-backed fairy wren)
Lineage: Eukaryota; Metazoa; Chordata; Aves; Passeriformes; Maluridae
Exons: 4
Source: RefSeq, a predicted model, not a curated record
GGAAUGUGCAAUGGAGAUUGUUAAUAUGGACAUAUCCUAAGACACAGCAUACCUUUUGAGAAAAUAAAUACACUACACUUUGACAAGAAGGACAAUUAACAGUGCCAUGAAUUACUGAGGACAGGUGUUUUAUCCUGUUCAUCACCAGAAAUAGUCCCUUUGACAAGAAACUCUUSCUUAGACCUUGAAGAUUCAUUAAGGUAGAGUAGCAGGCAUGCASAGAACCAAAUAAUCUGGCUUGAAAYCAUGCAAAGAGUCUGGAAAUACAAUUCCAGUGAGUCCUGGCUAUAACACCUUUGAUGCCCACAUCACUAGCUGCUGUCCUGCAUACACCAACGGGUGGAUGCUGUGGGGGGGUCCAGGCAGCUCUGUGGAACAGUCUCCAAUGGGAUAGUAGGAUGAGAAGGUCCAGGGGUAGUUUGGGAAACGAGGAGAAACAUCACCUCCCAAGACGGUAAAUCUACU